CAGAGGGAGGCAAAGCCGCGAGGCAGAGCAAACCCCUAAAAGCCAUCCCAGUUCGGAUUGCAGGCUGCAACCCGCCUGUAUGAAGUUGGAAUCGCUAGUAAUCGCGGAUCAGCAUGCCGCGGUGAAUACGUUCCCGGGCCUUGUACACACCGCCCGUCACACCAUGAGAGUCGGGAACACCCGAAGUCCGUAGCCUAACCGCAAGGAGGGCGCGGCCGAAGGUGGGUUCGAUAAUUGGGGUGAAGUCGUAACAAGGUAAC
Molecule: ribosomal RNA, 260 nt
Filed under: uncultured bacterium
Lineage: Bacteria
Description: partial 16S ribosomal RNA
Rfam family: Bacterial small subunit ribosomal RNA
Source: RNAcentral